CCUACGGGAGGCAGCAGUGAGGAAUAUUGGUCAAUGGGCGGAAGCCUGAACCAGCCAAGUCGCGUGAGGGAAUAAGGCCCUACGGGUCGUAAACCUCUUUUGCCGGGGAGCAAGGGCCGGGACGAGUCCCGGUCCGGAGAGUACCCGGUGACAAAGCACCGGCUAACUCCGUGCCAGCAGCCGCGGUAAUACGGGGGAUGCGGGCGUUAUCCGGAUUUAUUGGGGUAAAAGGGUGCGUAGGGGGGCUUUUAAGUCAGCGGUAAAAAUUCGGGGCUCAACCCCGUUCGGCGGUUGAAACUGGGGGCCUAGAGUGGGCGAGAAGAAGGCGGAAUGCGUGGUGUAGCGGUGAAAUGCGUAGAUAUCGCGCAGAA
This 371-nucleotide ribosomal RNA is filed under the name uncultured bacterium. RNAcentral's name for it is "partial 16S ribosomal RNA". It matches the Rfam family "Bacterial small subunit ribosomal RNA", at positions 338 to 706 of the family's 1533-position model. The record is from RNAcentral.